CAGUCGCCGCGGUAAUACAGAGGGUGCGAGCGUUAAUCGGAUUUACUGGGCGUAAAGCGUGCGUAGGCGGCUAAUUGAGUCGGAUGUGAAAUCCCCGAGCUUAACUCGGGAAUUGCAUUCGAUACUGGUUAGCUAGAGUGUGGGAGAGGAUGGUAGAAUUCCAGGUGUAGCGGUGAAAUGCGUAGAGAUCUGGAGGAAUACCGAUGGCGAAGGCAGCCAUCUGGCCUAACACUGACGCUGAGGUACGAAAGCAUGGGGAGCAAACAGGAUUAGAUACCCCAGUAGUCCCUGUCUCUUAUAC
Molecule: ribosomal RNA, 301 nt
Filed under: uncultured bacterium
Lineage: Bacteria
Description: partial 16S ribosomal RNA
Rfam family: Bacterial small subunit ribosomal RNA
Source: RNAcentral